UGGGGGAGUGAAAAGAUGGGGAGGGGGAUGACAAACAUCAUUGGGUGCCACCGUGGUUCCGCCAGUAGAACUAACUGUCUCACGGCUCCACCGACGCGAGUUUGAUCCUGAUCUACGCUGCUGUCUAAGUGGAGUUUGUACUCACCAUGUACUCGCUCCCACUCACCUGGUUUCACCUAUCGCCUGCUAGUCUUCUCUCCUCCCCUUCCCACAACUUCUAAUUCUGCUUUCUGCCCCCUUCCUUUCCAGGGUCUUGACUCGAAACGUGAACGGUUCAUUUCCCUCCAUUGAUGCGUCUACAGUAUCAGUGCGUACACAUCCUAGAGAUUAUACCUUGUGUAUAGGAGGUGGUCGCAGUACAGGUGCCCAGAAGCAAUCCACCUUGAUUCCCGGUUGCCUCCCGUACUGUCAUGGUGAGGCCAAACAUAAACUGGAGGAUCAAUACCCGAGAGUCUACGGGCAGCAUAGCGGGCAGAGCAACACUUUGCAGCGGCUACGAUCGGUAUUCAGCUCCCGGCGCUGUCCGUAAGGAGUUGGUAUGUUCUUCCCCCGAGUCAGAUUUCCGGCUUCUGGUGUUCUUUGAAUUUCACUUACUGGAGGAUUAAGAUCUUGAAGGGAGACUGAGGCUGUGUCUUUUGUGAUCGAGAAGGCUGAGGUGAGAUUGGAAUGAGGCACUGCACAUGAUGGGAGGCCAAGAGAAGCAGUAAAGCCAAAGUCAAAUCACAAAAAAGAUGCUGGACAUCCAAGCAACACACAGAAAAUGCCGGAAGAACUCAGUGGACCAGGCAGCUUCUAUGGAAAAAGGUUGUGCAGAGCAGAGCGUGCGGACCGAUCACAUCACCAUUCGGUACGGAGGUACCAAAGCACAGGAUCGGAAAAAAUCUGCAGAGGGUUGUAGACUUAGCCAGCUCCUUCGUGGGAGCUAGCCUCACUGCCUUCAAGAACAUCUUCAAAAAGAAAUACCAAGGAAGGCAGGAUCCAUCAUGAAGGACCCUCACUCAUCCAGAACAUGUCAUCUUUUUAUUACUGACAGCAUCUUCCCCUCUACCAUCAGAUUUCUGAACGGUCUGUGAACACUGCCUCACUAUUUUGCUCUCUUUUUACACAGUAAGUGGAGGCUGGUCCUGAAAUCUCUACCAUAAUAAGUCCAUGUUCUCCCACCCAGUUGAGCUGGCCCUCCAUAGCCACACACUUUCUGGUACUUCCUGGGAGCAUCCUGCCUUUGAUCCAGAGUCCAUAUUGUUUUCUGUAAACUAUCGGGGCUUCUGGGAGACACGCCACUCAUCUCCUCUCCUCUAUUUAAACAGGCACUUCCCUAGCCACCACUUACUGAGGACCCCGAAUGCACAGAGUAACUUCUGAGUUCUUCUGUAAAGAAAGCGUUCGGUUUAAGAAUUUUUGUUUAAUGCUUCACGUAUUUUCCUUAUGCUUUACUUACAGUAAUUAUUCUUAUGUAAAAUAUAAUUCAGUCAAAUCUUAUUCCUAAUGGAUGAAUCUAGCCUAAUAUUGUGAAACAUUUGCAAUGAAAAAUGCAUUGGAAUUGAUUUAUGGAAGUGAAUGGAAGCACAAUGUAAAAUUUUUGCAUGUUUAGUUAAA
This is a long non-coding RNA of Hypanus sabinus (Atlantic stingray), 1596 nucleotides long. RefSeq lists it as uncharacterized. Lineage: Eukaryota; Metazoa; Chordata; Chondrichthyes; Myliobatiformes; Dasyatidae. The record is from RefSeq and is a predicted model, not a curated record. The transcript has 4 exons.